GGGGUUGUGACUCAGUGGUAGAGCGCUCACCUAGCACAUGUGAGGCACUGGGUUCGAUCCUCAACACCA
RNAcentral lists this transfer RNA (69 nucleotides) under Marmota monax (woodchuck). Its description in RNAcentral is "tRNA.Ala". The record is from RNAcentral. Lineage: Eukaryota; Metazoa; Chordata; Mammalia; Rodentia; Sciuridae.